This is a long non-coding RNA of Rhincodon typus (whale shark), 470 nucleotides long. RefSeq lists it as uncharacterized. The transcript has 3 exons. NCBI's taxonomy places the organism in Eukaryota, Metazoa, Chordata, Chondrichthyes, Orectolobiformes, Rhincodontidae. The record is from RefSeq and is a predicted model, not a curated record.
UGUUGUUUGAUGGGAUCGAGCCCCGUUCACCGGAUUUUGAUGGGAUCGAGUCCCUGUUCCAGGAGCGGAUCUUGCUCCGGCUCCCGCCCCCUUUUCCUUCCCAUUUCCGCCGGGGAGAAGUGAAAGGAAUAAAGUAGCGGCCGGAGCCCGGAGCAGGUCAGAGCCGUAACUUCUCCCAGGAACCGGGGGGAGAUCCCAGCGCCGGGAACCGCGGUGGGAGAUCCCACGCCAGUGUUUGAUAAAAGACUGCAGGAUCCGCAAAAAGUUUGAUGCAAGUGGGAUUCUGACACUGGAUCUCUCCACUAGCACCUGUUUUAAGCCAUCUUCCAUGCAGAGGAUGUGCUGGGAGAGGGCGUUGCAUCACUGCCUUUCACAGACACUUGAAUCUUGAUACAGCCAUGGCUGGAGGAGUGCACCAGUGCUCCACUACUCUAUGGUCACAAGAUACAAUAAAAAUACUUCUUCCAGUU